Molecule: ribosomal RNA, 253 nt
Filed under: uncultured bacterium
Lineage: Bacteria
Description: partial 16S ribosomal RNA
Rfam family: Bacterial small subunit ribosomal RNA
Source: RNAcentral
CACGUAGGGCGCAAGCGUUGUCCGGAAUUAUUGGGCGUAAAGAGCUCGUAGGCGGUCUGUUGCGUCCGCUGUGAAAACUCGGGGCUUAACCCCGAGCCUGCAGUGGAUACGGGCAGACUAGAGGUAGGUAGGGGAGAAUGGAAUUCCCGGUGCAGCGGUGAAAUGCGCAGAUAUCGGGAGGAACACCGGUGGCGAAGGCGGUUCUCUGGGCCUUACCUGACGCUGAGGCGCGAAAGCCAGGGGAGCAAACGGG